AAAGGAAUGGCUGGGUCAAAUGGUGUGUCCAUUCCCAGAUUUCUAAGGGAUCUUCAUACUGCUUUCCACAUUGGCUGCAUCAAUUUGCACUCCCACCAGCAAU
This 103-nucleotide microRNA precursor is filed under the name Marmota monax (woodchuck). The record is from RNAcentral. Lineage: Eukaryota; Metazoa; Chordata; Mammalia; Rodentia; Sciuridae.